AUGGAAAGGGUGCCUUUCACAAAAAGAGCUCUGAAGAAUUUGUGUGGUAAAAUAAAUAGAGAACAGUCGGAGGAUGAUGUGAGGAAGACCAUGGAGGUGUUUGCAGAGCUGGGCUCAAGAGAUCCUCACUUCACCUAUCGUGUGCAAGAAGAUGAGGAUGGUCGGAUAGCAACUCUUAUGUGGGCAAAUGGGAGCAGCAGGUUGCAGUACACAUUCUUUGGAGAUGUCGUAACCUUUGAUACAACAUACAAAACAAACCUGUACAACAUGCCAUUUGGUCUGUUUGUGGGUGUGAAUAAUCAUUUCCAGAGCAUCAUCCUGGCCGGUGUUCUUGUCCGUGAUGAAAAGGUGGAGACAUUUGAGUGGGUUUUCACAGAAUUCAUUAGGAUGAUGGGUAGGACUGCACCGAGGACAAUUCUAACAGAUGUGAUGCCUAGUUGUAAAGGAACUAUCUGUGCUAACAAUGUCUGUAGUUGUUUCGAAAUCAUUGUUGUCUAA
RNAcentral lists this ribosomal RNA (498 nucleotides) under Triticum aestivum (bread wheat). Its description in RNAcentral is "partial small subunit ribosomal RNA". Lineage: Eukaryota; Viridiplantae; Streptophyta; Magnoliopsida; Poales; Poaceae. The record is from RNAcentral.